GACGAACGCUGGCGGCGUGCUUAACACAUGCAAGUCGAACGGAAAGGCCCCUUUGGGGGUACUCGAGUGGCGAACGGGUGAGUAACACGUGAGUAACCUGCCCUUGACUUCGGGAUAACUUCAGGAAACUGGGGCUAAUACCGGAUAGGAAUCCUUGCUGCAUGGUGGGGGUUGGAAAGCUUCGGCGGUUUUGGAUGGACUCGCGGCCUAUCAGCUUGUUGGUGGGGUAGUGGCUUACCAAGGCUUUGACGGGUAGCCGGCCUGAGGGGGCGACCGGCCACCAUGGGACUGGGGUACGGCCCAGACUCCUACGGGAGGCAGCAGUGGGGAAUAUUGCACAAUGGGCGGAAGCCUGAUGCAGCAACGCCGCGGGCGGGAUGACGGCCUUCGGGUUGUAAACCGCUUUCAGCAGGGGCGAAGCUUGUGGUGACGGUACCUGCAGAAGAAGCACCGGCUAACUACGUG
This 465-nucleotide ribosomal RNA is filed under the name uncultured bacterium. RNAcentral's name for it is "partial 16S ribosomal RNA". It matches the Rfam family "Bacterial small subunit ribosomal RNA", at positions 28 to 507 of the family's 1533-position model. The record is from RNAcentral.